This 253-nucleotide ribosomal RNA is filed under the name uncultured prokaryote. Its description in RNAcentral is "partial 16S ribosomal RNA". It matches the Rfam family "Bacterial small subunit ribosomal RNA", at positions 524 to 776 of the family's 1533-position model. The record is from RNAcentral.
UACGGGGGGGGCAAGCGUUGUUCGGAAUUACUGGGCGUAAAGGGCGCGUAGGCGGCCUUCUAAGUCGAACGUGAAAUCCCCGGGCUCAACCCGGGAACUGCGUCCGAUACUGGAAGGCUUGAAUCCGGGAGAGGGAUGUGGAAUUCCAGGUGUAGCGGUGAAAUGCGUAGAUAUCGAGAGGAACACCUGCGGCGAAGGCGGGUUGCUGGGCCGACACUGACGCUGAUGCGCGAAAGCCAGGGGAGCGAACGGG